RNAcentral lists this non-coding RNA (849 nucleotides) under Serpula lacrymans var. lacrymans S7.3. Its description in RNAcentral is "Bacterial small subunit ribosomal RNA". It matches the Rfam family "Bacterial small subunit ribosomal RNA", at positions 114 to 873 of the family's 1533-position model. Lineage: Eukaryota; Fungi; Basidiomycota; Agaricomycetes; Boletales; Serpulaceae. The record is from Rfam by way of RNAcentral.
AAAUAAAUUCUGUGUUCUUACAUUAUAUUAUAUAAUUAAUUUUUCAAUUAUUAAAUUAUAUUUUUUUUUAAUGAAAAAUAUAAAAAUAAAAUUAAAAUAACUACUUGACAAAAGCAAAAAGUUAUUUUAUGCAAAUAAUAGGAAAAUUAAAGGAAUAAAAUAAAAUAGCUAUUUUUAUUAAAAAAAGGAAAUAUUCUGCUAUAGGAUUCUAUUUAUUUUGAUUAGGUAGUUGGAAGGGUAAAGGCCUCCCAAGCCGACAAUCAAUAGCCAUGCUUGACAGAGCAAAUGGCCACAUUGGGAAUGAGAUCUCCCAAGUAGUUAACACUACCAGCAGUCAAGAAUAUUAGUCAAUGCUCGCAAGAGUGAACUAGCUAACUGAAAUCAUAUAUGUGUCAUAUGUGAUAAAGUAAGGGAAAAUAAUGAUAUUACCUUAUUAUUAGUGUUGUCCAAAACUGGUGCCAGAAGACUCGGUAAGGCCAGAGACGCGAACGUUAGUCGUCCUAAUCAGGCGUAAAGGGUUUGUAGGCUGCUUUAAAAGUUUUAUUUUUAAUAUAGCUAAAAUAAAGAUAAGAUCAAUUAAAGCUAGAAUCAAAUAGAGGGUAAACCAAAUAAUACUUAGAGUAGGGCCGAUAUCCAUAAAUACUAGGUGGAAUACUAAAGGUGAAAGCUUUUUAUCUACUAAUGAUUGACGCUGAGAAACGAAGGUGAGGAAAGGAAACAGGAUUAGAUACCCACAUACCCCUCUCUGUCAACGAUGAAUGGUGGCUUGCUAAUUGAAUAAAACAUUAAAAAUUUAAUGUAAUUAUAAUAAAAAAUUGGUAGCGAUGUUAACACGAUAACCAUUCCGCC